AAAAGAUCCCUUUGUCUGUGUACAACUAUCCAGAUAUCAGGAAGGAGGAUAACAGCCUACACCAGAAGUACUCAACCAGCUAACAUCCAUGUGGUCAGGAGCAGAGAAAGCAGGACUAAUAACUGACAUCAUUUCUGAACAGGCUGGGAGAGCCCCUUGACACCUGCAACCAUCUCACAGUAGAAACUGGCUCAAGUAGGAAAAGGUGACCCGACUGCUCUGACUAUUAUGAAGGCAGAGUCUUUCAGAGCCUGCAUCAAACUGUGAUUUGCACUUCUGUAUCAGUGAGAAAUGAAAUGCUGUUAUUUUCUUGUGUUCAUGGGUUACCCCCUGCCACCAUGAGAGUGCUGGAUGGGGAAGGCAGCCUGACCCAUACAAGACAAGCACUUUUUCUGGUAAGAUUUGGCCGUUUUGCUCUUGGAACUGAAUCCAUGGAAUCUGAUUUCCUCCCAAACACAUCCGAGUGCUUGAACUUUGUGUCCUUUGGCAUAUUCGUGAAUGUCGACUCUUCUCAUGCAGCCAGUGCUUCAGGAGAAGCAGAGUUGGAGCACACGCAAAAGUAUUCAUACUCUGAUCACACCAGGAUAAAUCAAGUGACUUUUCAGCUGGAUCAGCUUUAUUGAUCUAGAUCACUGCUUUGGCUUCACAAAUUGAGACACUAUCACAAAAAAG
Molecule: long non-coding RNA, 672 nt
Filed under: Calidris pugnax (ruff)
Lineage: Eukaryota; Metazoa; Chordata; Aves; Charadriiformes; Scolopacidae
Description: lncRNA (ENSCPUG00000001990.1)
Source: RNAcentral